Molecule: long non-coding RNA, 1638 nt
Filed under: Bos taurus (domestic cattle)
Lineage: Eukaryota; Metazoa; Chordata; Mammalia; Artiodactyla; Bovidae
Description: uncharacterized LOC100140121 (LOC100140121)
Source: RNAcentral
GCCACUUACCUUGAGGUGGCCGCUGUCCGGGCUGCUCGCCUCCUCCUCGUCUUCACCUCCCGAGGCGGCGGCGGCCGAGACGGUGGGCGGCGGCGCGCCCCGUCCGCGAAGCCCCAGGUGCUCGGCGGUGGCGGCGGCCGCAGGCAAGGCAGCCGAGGCUGCGCCCCCGGAGGCUCCGGGGCUGAGCGUCACGUUGUGCGCGUUCUCGCCCCAGCGCCACGGGUACACCAUGAAGUCGCUGAAGCCAGGGCUGGUGGGGAUGAGCGGAGGCGGCGGCUCUGGCUCCCCUCCGCCGCCGCAUGUGGGCUUGAUCGGGGUCGUCCUGAUGACCGACACCAGCACCCGCUUCGGGGAAUCCUGGCAGAAGAUGACGGGCGGCGGCUGAGGGGCGUUGUCCGCCAUCUGCGCCUCCACACCCCGGAUCAUUGCCUGGCCCGGAUCCGCAGCUCCGGCGGCCGUGGGCCGCACUCCCCGAGCCCGGGUCUGGUCCUUGCUCCGCUCGCCGGCGCUGCUCCGAGUUGCUGGCUCUCAGUCUUGCCGGCUCUUAGUCCCGCCGGCUCAUGGCAGGCGGACGUUUCCUGGAACUCUCCUGCGCUGCGGCCAGUGAAGGAACAGAACGGCUCGGCCGGACCAGACGGUCAGGGCUGGCCCCCCAACCCUUGGGUCAAACCCGCUCUCCGCUGUUUAUACUCUCCAACGCAGGCUGCAGCUGCAGGAAGCAGCGGGCGGCUUGCCUUUGCGAUGACAGGGAAGCUGGACGCGAGGCGCCGAGCCCCCGAAAAUAACAACCUGCCGCCGGGGUCCCUACUCCUGUUUUUCCCGCGUUACAUUUCGCGCCUGGGCGGAACCAAUCACCGCAAGGCCCCUGCCCGCUGGCCGCAGCGGCGAGUGACAGGACGCGCGAGCCAAUGGCCGGGCCUGGACUUCUUUCUAGCCAGACCGGGGCGGAGCCGGACCUGCGCGCGGGUCCUUUCUGCCAUGCUAUUGGCCGCCGCUCUUGUAUUUUUUUUUUCUUCCAGAGGAGCCAACAGCGUUCGAAACUCCAGGGGAGCGCGCGACGUCGGCACUCACCCAGACACACCCUCCGGGAGCCCCGCCCCUGCUGUCCCUCUGCGCGGGUAGUCGAGUUUUAUCCCAAAUGACUGUACCGGAUACUUCUGAAUCCAUUGUAAGGAAAAUAUAAUUCAUCUAUUUUAUACUUGAAAAACAGUGAAAAGUAAAAAGUGAUAUAUCCAACUUGGACUCUCAAAUUACCGGUUAAGCAAGAUCCAGCAGAUUAAGCACCAGCCAAUAGUUACUGUUUAACAAGGCCCAGAGUGUGAGAUGAGUCAUUCAGAACCAAGAACUAACUUUCUGCUUCUAAAAAUUAUUCUUCAUCAACAGUAACCUGGCAACUCUACUUGCUCUCUGCCACAAGAGAAUGAAAGGCAUGCCAGGAAUUUGUGAACUGGGCAGAGGGUGAUUCCUUGAGCAGAGCUGAGGACAUGCAAGAUCUGCUUGUUUGGCUCUAUUUCCCUGCAACUAGGAGGCUGUCUGAAGUGUGCGGAUCAUAUUUCUGGUGUCUUUGUUCUGCCCUAGUCAAAGUCUAAAUACUAAAAUUGAGAAUACUGAGAUUCAGAGUAAUAAAAUUCAUCUAAG